Molecule: ribosomal RNA, 516 nt
Filed under: uncultured bacterium
Lineage: Bacteria
Description: bacterial SSU rRNA
Rfam family: Bacterial small subunit ribosomal RNA
Source: RNAcentral
ACGAACGCUGGCGGCGUGCCUAAUACAUGCAAGUCGAACGGUCUUUCUAUGGAAGCUUGCUUCCACUGAGAAGAUAGUGGCGAACGGGUGAGUAACACGUGGGUAACCUGCCCAUAAGAGGGGGAUAACAUCCGGAAACGGGUGCUAAUACCGCAUAGUUUUCUUGAUCGCAUGAUCGGGAAAGGAAAGACGGCCUUUGUGCUGUCGCUUAUGGAUGGACCCGCGGCGUAUUAGUUAGUUGGUGAGGUAAUGGCUCACCAAGACGAUGAUACGUAGCCGACCUGAGAGGGUGAUCGGCCACAUUGGGACUGAGACACGGCCCAAACUCCUACGGGAGGCAGCAGUAGGGAAUCUUCCGCAAUGGACGAAAGUCUGACGGAGCAACGCCGCGUGAGUGAAGAAGGUUUUCGGAAUCGUAAAACUCUGUUGUCAGAGAAGAACAAGUUGGAGAGUAACUGCUCCAGCCUUGACGGUAUCUGACCAGAAAGCCACGGCUAACUACGUGCCAGCAGCAGC